UUCCUUUGUUGGUUUUUAAUU
Molecule: non-coding RNA, 21 nt
Filed under: Caenorhabditis elegans
Lineage: Eukaryota; Metazoa; Nematoda; Chromadorea; Rhabditida; Rhabditidae
Source: RNAcentral